GAUGAACGCUGGCGGCGUGCUUAACACAUGCAAGUCGAACGAAGCGAUAUAGAGGAAAUUUUCGGAUGGAAUUUAUAUUGACUGAGUGGCGGACGGGUGAGUAACGCGUGGGUAACCUGCCUCAUACAGGGGGAUAACAGUUAGAAAUGACUGCUAAUACCGCAUAAGCGCACAGGGAUGCAUGUUCCAGUGUGAAAAACUGAGGUGGUAUGAGAUGGACCCGCGUCUGAUUAGCUAGUUGGAGGGGUAACGGCCCACCAAGGCGACGAUCAGUAGCCGACCUGAGAGGGUGACCGGCCACAUUGGGACUGAGACACGGCCCAA
This 324-nucleotide ribosomal RNA is filed under the name uncultured bacterium. RNAcentral describes it as "bacterial SSU rRNA". It matches the Rfam family "Bacterial small subunit ribosomal RNA", at positions 28 to 334 of the family's 1533-position model. The record is from RNAcentral.